This 2788-nucleotide long non-coding RNA is filed under the name Mustela putorius furo (domestic ferret). Its description in RNAcentral is "lncRNA (ENSMPUG00000026329.1)". Lineage: Eukaryota; Metazoa; Chordata; Mammalia; Carnivora; Mustelidae. The record is from RNAcentral.
CUAUACCUUGUGUAUCAAACACAAAUAAGACACAGCCCUGCCUGGAGAGGAUUAAAAUCUCAUCAGAAAAAUGCAAGUGUGAGGCAUUCUAUAGAGAGCCAUGCCCACAGGAGGCUGUAUAAGCAUUAAGUCAAGUUCUGAAUGGCCUUCCAUGCCUUCUUAGUCUUUCCAGUGCUUAGGAAAGAAGAUCCCCAAUGAGCAUCAUCUGAUCAGAUCUGUGAGCUUUCCCUGAAUGUGCUCGAUGGCACAGGCACGCAUCUGCCACUCGGAGAAAAUCAAGAAGGGUGGAUGGAAAGCGAUGCUUGUGAUCGGCAUCUCCGUAAGGGCCAUAGGUGAUGUCACAUCUGUCAGGUGGGAUGAAGCUUUGUCUGAAAGGAAUGAAUGGUCUCAUCGUCCAUCACUGAAAGGUAUGAGUCCUGGGAUAAGAUAGGGUAGCAUAGGAGGUGGGCCUUAGACCAGGGUAACAGAGAGAAAAGUACUGGACCUAUGAUUGGGACUUCAGGUUCGCCAGAUACUAAAGUACUGAGAACCUCUUAUGGCGGCAAAGUGGACUGCCAUAUGGAGCUAGUGCCAAGUUGAGAAAGAAAGCAUGGCAAGUAAAAAACUGGGCAUUUUUCCUUUGGUGGACCUUUUGUUCCUAGUAUCACAAGACUCUUCCAUUAUUUUUCAUAGCUAGUUUUGAUGUGGGAAUUAAGAUAUUUACAUGGAAAAAAGUAUUAAGCUGGAUGCCGCCAUCCAAGGCAAGAGCGACAACAGUGAGAAUGGUCGUCAAUAGAGGAUUAUGGACAUCAACCCCUCCAGCAUCUCAUUGAGGCACAGGAGAAGGAUGCCAGACAUUAGUUCCUGAAUACAGUGGCAGGCACCCUUCAAAGGCAAUUAAUUUCUAGCAGUAAAUCAAAGCACUUGCUCCCUUAUUCAGUUCUUGUUUAAGAAAAUCCAGGGGAAGAUGUUAGUUGGUUUGGCUUGCUUUGGAUAGAGUCCAUUCCUGGACCAAUCAACUUUGACCAUGUAAGAAAAAGGACAUCUCAAAUGAAAGCAGUGGCAUUUCAGAAAGAGAAAAAAGAACUGGGCAUGAAUCCAGGAGAAGUCUACUAGAGCCAUGGGGUCAAGAUCUACUUCUAUUGGGGGAUUUUCUAGCAGAGUCAGUUCUUGCUAUGUUAAACAAGACAGUAUCUUUUAUCAUAAUAGCUCUUUAAGGAUACUCAUCAAUACAAAAAUAAGAAAAAAUUUCUGGGUUAAUACACCAGUUUUCCUAGAGUGGAUUACAAAAAGAUAAAAAAUUUGUGAAAAAUGUGCUUACUUUUUUUCAAGGAAUCACAGCAUUUUGUUGGACAAAUGGACAAUGAAAAUCUUAAGAAAAUAGACUUUUGUGAUCUAAGAACUUUUUAUAGUCAGACAAGUGGUGGGCUUAUUUUCUAAAUACACAGUUUUGAUACAUUUUAAAAAUAUGUCAGAUUCAAUUGCUUAAGAUGUCUCUCUAAGUAUGCAUAUGGGUUGACAUUAUUAUUUAGCUAUUUGGAUGCUGAAUCAUUAUGCACCGAAAGGGGGAAAAAAAAGUCUGCUUUCUCUAACUUCCUGCAUAAAUUUCUGUAUCUACCACUAGAGGGCACAAAUAAGGCUGCUUUCUGGGGAAAAAGGUUUUGAAAAUGACAAAAUUCCAUAUUUGGAACAGUGACUGAGUUAAGACAUAAAGAUAUUGCAUGUUUUCUUUAAAUCUGAAAAGGAAAAUCAAAACAUACGCACAUUUAAACACAGACCAUUUUGUUCUGUUUUCUCUCCCCAAAAAAGUAUAUGUGAGGAGAAUAAGAAAUAAUGGUUCACAAAAAUUUAGACAUACAUAAAAUUAUUGAAGUGAAAUGGCUAUGAAAACAUAAACUAAGUUAAAAUUACUGCUACAGCAACAUGGCAAUAUUCCACAAAUUAACAAAAAUAUUCCUAUUUAUCUAACUCACACUGAACCUUUGGGAUAAUUCUCUCCUUAAAUCAACAAGCACAAUACAGUUCACAAAACUGAUUCUACAUCUUAUAAAUAUCAGGUAUACAUUGCAUCUCUUCUUAGCAAAUGUGGUACUGUGGUAAAAAUAGGGUAUGAUCUGGUAGCUGUCUUCACACAAUAAUGUGCUUGACUCAUGCUUGCAGAAUACCUCCGUCUUCAACAGCUGUUUUACUCCUUAAAAAAGAGGGGGGAAAAAACCCAACUUCACUAGAAAAAAAACAAAUAGUCCCCAACCUUGUCACCCUAGACAUAUGACAAGUACUAAUCACUAUGGUUAGAUUUGAUGUCUUGCUUGAUUUGUGUUUUCGGGGAUUUUACAAGGAAGAAUACUGUUAUAGAGCCACUGAUUCUGCUGGAAAUAAAACAAAACCAACAGAGCAAAGUUUGCUGAGAUGCCUUCAGGUGGAGAAAGGAAAAUGAGGGGCCCAGUGAUUUGACUUCAUGAUGAAAGUGAAAACACUGUAGCGAAUUAGGUAAGAGAUUUUCUCCCUGAUACAUUUCAAAUCACUAAUUUUCAAGAAUGUAUCCAAAUACAGAUUACCUUCAUUUUAUUGAAGUUUCUCUAAAACACAAAGUUUAAAUGUUAUAAACAAGGACUUACUGAUGUUCAUAAAAUUCCUCAGCUUGGUCUCUCCUAAUGUUGCCUUUUUUAAAAGCAUAUUUUAAACUACUUUUUUAAGGGUCCCAUUCCACAGGCUACAAAUCUGAUACCUUCUUCAACUGUAUUCCACUACUUGAACCCAGUUUCCUGCUCUGGAUUUUGUCACUUUCCUCCUGAUUCCAUCUUGAGAC